GGGUAGGUACUCAAGUGGUCAACGAGGUCAGACUGUAAAUCUGAUGCGUCAAUGCUUCGCAGGUUCGAAUCCUGCCCUGCCCA
RNAcentral lists this transfer RNA (83 nucleotides) under Omnitrophica WOR_2 bacterium GWA2_37_7. RNAcentral describes it as "tRNA-Tyr". It matches the Rfam family "tRNA". From Rfam's summary of the family: Transfer RNA (tRNA) molecules are approximately 80 nucleotides in length. Their secondary structure includes four short double-helical elements and three loops (D, anti-codon, and T loops). The record is from RNAcentral. Lineage: Bacteria; Pseudomonadati; Candidatus Omnitrophota. RNAcentral also lists the same sequence under 6 other names.